This 227-nucleotide long non-coding RNA is filed under the name Capsicum annuum. RNAcentral's name for it is "long non-coding RNA (CANN_LNC007666)". Lineage: Eukaryota; Viridiplantae; Streptophyta; Magnoliopsida; Solanales; Solanaceae. The record is from RNAcentral.
CGACUCGGAAAGCUCCGAAGCAAACUGGAGCUCACCAACAAUAGCUGUAUGACCUGGCUCCUACUUGUGCGGUGUAUGAGCUGAGGUACCUGUGCCUGCAGCAUGAAAUGCAGGUCCCCCGUGAGGGACGUCAGUACGAAAUAUGUACUGAGUAAGUAAAGCUGUAAAUAAUCAUAUGUGGUAUGGGGGAUCAAGAAAAUCAGACACAAGUGAAUAAAUCAUAAUAG